Molecule: long non-coding RNA, 9362 nt
Filed under: Homo sapiens (human)
Lineage: Eukaryota; Metazoa; Chordata; Mammalia; Primates; Hominidae
Description: HSALNT0292966
Source: RNAcentral
CCCUUCCUUCCACCUAGUGUGCCCACUUCAGCUAAACUCCUCUGUUGAUUGAGGGUUAUUUACUCCUGUGGCUGUGGUCUAGAGUGGAGAAGUGCUCCGUCAGUAGGUAAUGAGUAAGAGUCAGCAGAGGAGGCAGCUGUCUUCCUGGCAGUCUCCUUACCCUGGAUUGGUCAUCAAAAACACUGCUGGAGAUCUGUUUACAGCAUUUUGCAAUUCAAGAAGGGUAAGGGAGGACUUCACCCUUCUUUCAGGAGACCUGCAAGUUUCGCUUGCUAAUUUAAUGUUUCUAGAUAUUUUUGAACAGCAGCCCAGUACCUGGAUGUUGCUAGAUGUGACGGAAGAUACAAAGAAGAACACAUGGGGUCUGCCUUCAACAUAGUUAGACAUAUAAAAAGUCAAGUUAGGAUAAAGAAAUGAAGAGUGUUUCAAGAUAGUAUAUGAUUAAGUAUCAAUUAAGUAAGUACUAUGGGCCUGCAAGAGGGAGUACCCCUGCAGGCUGGAGGGAUCACAGAGGGUUUAUGGAAGAGAUGGGCCUCAAAGGAACCUGGGUAAGUCAAUAAAAUUGUAAAGGAAAAGACAAAUUCUCAUGCUUAGUGAUGACUUACUGAGUUCUCAUUAUGUACAACAAACUGUAGAAGAGCUGUCUCAAGUAGUCUUAGGCUAAUGUCCCCAUGGGCCUAAGAUUGCAGCUGCAACUCCUUACAGAGCUGCAUUUCGAACAUAAAGAAAGGGGCGAGGGCCAAACAUGUUCUCCUUGUGAACUCUCUCCAUUUAGGGAGAAAGUCUUUGAAAAAAGAUUUACCCUGAAAUCUCACUGGCCAGAACUAACUCUUAUGCCUACCCCUAGGCAAUUACUGGCAAAGGUUUAAGCCAAUCGUGAUUCUUCCCUGGGCUGGCAUAGACUGUGCACAGCUUUGAUAAGAUCAAGGGAUCCCCAUUUACUAACUGAAUAGAACCAGAGUUCUGUCUGGCAGAGAAGAAAGUGAGGAUGGUGGAUGAGUAGGCAGUGAACAGUGUUUGCCACAUUUACCAUUAAUGAACCAUGCCCAUGUGGCUUCUACACUGGCUGUAGCCAGUCCUUGACCUUGGCCUUCAUUUACAACUUGGAAUUUUUUCCCUAUUGAAAAUUAUUGUUCCUGCACAAUGGAUCUGACACAUGCAAGGAAAGCAACUCAAAAUUCCAUCAGUAAAUUCUUAUUCGGAGAUCCUUUGGUCACAUAAGAUUGAUGAAUUGUCAUACCUUUAUGUAUUUUAAGUUUGAAAAAUGUUUUAAGUUAGGUAUCAUUUUUAUGACUCCUAACUAAACUAGCUAAAAAUUAACCUACAGACCUCUAGUUUCAAGACAAGAAUAGAUAAGUCUUUAGAUACAUCCAGAUAAGUUUUAGAUAAAAAGGCUUCUUAUAUUGUAGUCGCUAGAUAUAUUUUUUUUUUGGUCUUAAUUCCUCAUUGGAUUGAAAUCUAGAGGGCAGAGUUCAAUGAGCUCUAGAACUGAGUGAUCCAGUAUAGUAACCACUAGCUAUAUAUGACUACUGAGCACUUGAAAUGUGGUUAAUGAGAUGGAGGAAAUGAAUUUUUCAUUGUGUUUUAAUUUUAAUGUAAAGUCUGAUUUUAUUAUUGAAAAACUUUUAAGUAUAUUUGGAAUAAUUUAUGUAUGGGAAUGUCCUUUCUCAGCUGUAAGCUGUAUGAAACCUAAAAAAGCUUGACUAUUUCCGAUGAAAACGUAGUGUUUGAGAUGAGUUGUGUCAUAAGUAUAAAACAUAUACUUCAUUUUAAAGAUGUAGUAUGGUAAAAACUAUGUAAAUAUAUCUCUUAAAUAAUUUCUUAUAUUGACUACAUCAUGAAAUGUCAAUACUUCAAAUAUACUGGGUUAAAGAAAAUAUACUACUUAAAUUAAUUUUACCUACUUAUUUUUACUGUGUUUCAAGGUGGCUAUUAGAAAAUUCUAAAUUACAUGUGUGGCUUUUGUUAUAUUUCUCUUGGACAGCGUUGCUGGAGUAUAUACUGAGCACUCAAAUGUUUGUUGAAUGAAUGCUUUGGUGACUUGACCAAGGUCACUCAGAAAGAUUCAAGACUGAGUCCCAGGUUCCCUUUCUCUCCAUGUCAUCUUCCUUUCCACCAUUCCUUGUGGCCUUCUGUAUCCCAUACUGUGCUUCCUGGUCACACUCUUAUACCCACCUGCAGGACAGAAACUUUCCUCAUGGAGUGAGUUUUACAAACUCUGAGGAGAGGGAGAAACAUCUGUGUUGAGGGUGUGUAAAGGCAGCAGCUUAUAGAAAAUGGAGCUCCCUUUGAUAGAGAGAAGUAAGUGAUUUAGGAUGCCAAAUCUCAGAUGACCCUUUUGUUUUAUAUUUUGCCAUUGCUGGGUGUCUUUUCUGAGAUCGCCAGUCAGCGCAUUGAAUGUUCUUGUUCCAACUUUCUCGUUUCAUAAAAAGGGUGGUUUUACACUUCUGGACAGAUUUCUUGCUAUCCCCAGGGCCCUAGUGACACAGAGCAAACAAGAGCAACGUAGGCUGUCUGAACACAAUGGGAGGAAAGCCGAGAACAAGCGGCCACCCACGCUGCUCACCAGAGAAGCCCAGCAUUCCCCUGGCUCAGAGAGCAGUUGCUUUGUUAGACCCUACACCAGAAGAUUUGCUCUAAACCCGCUGAGACCAUUCCCCCAGAUUGCAAUACUUACAGAACAGCGCUGCACACUGCUCUUCAUAAAACACGCACGAAACCAGCUGGGCCUGUGAAUCAUCCACUGAAGUGAAAGCGCUGUAAUUUCACAUUUCCAAUUUUUGGUCCUCAUGUUCAAGCUGAAAGUGCCAUUAUUUUUGCAGGAUUUCAUUCAAUAGACAUUCAUUCACCAAAUAUGUAUUGGAUACCUGCUAUAUGUCAGGCAAUAUGAGAUGCCAAGAAAAAUAAUACAUGCUGAUUUAUUGGUCUAUACUAUAUAACAAUGACUUAUGUAGCUGACCUAUAAAUAAGUUAUAUAUUUAUUUAUCUGAACUAUCAUAGACCAAGAGAGGCACAGAUAAUUUUUAAGAGCAUAACCCAAAGAUGCAUCUUUACAUAAGAAGUAUACUCACCAUUCUGGUUCAAAAACAAGGUCUCUCUGGACCAAUUUUUUGUCUCUGGCAGUGGCAUUAAAACACUUGGUGUGAUUCUAGGAUACUUUCUAAGGAACUAAUUAGAGAUUAUGGUUAAAGAUGUAUGUAUACUGAUGUCAUUGCAGUGUUAUUUAAGAGAGAAAAGAAAACUCUCUAAAUAAGAGUGGUUUAGUAAAAUUUGGGCCUGUCCUUAUGAUGGCAAAUCAUUACAAAUCAUGUUUUAAAGAAUAUUUAGUAAUGUAAGAAAAUAGUUCCCUUAUAUGCGAAGAUUUAAAAGUCAGGAUAUAAAAAUACACAUUACAGGUGUUUUCCAGUUUGGAAAAAAUAUCUGUAUACAUAUGCAGAGAAAAGACUAGAAGGAUAUAUACCAAAAUAUUAGCAAUUUACCUCUGAGAUGAGGUUAUGUAUGGCUUUAUCUUCCUAUUUACAUUCUAUAGUUAUAAAAUGUUUAAUUGUUCACUAUUUCUGAAAUAUGAAAAAACAAACUUUUAAUUUUUAUUCAUUUUAUUUAUUAUUAUUAUUAUUAUUAUUAUUAUUAUUACCAUUUUAGUGAGGGAGACUUGCCAUGUUGCCCAGGUUGAUCUUGAACUCCCAGCCUCAAGCAAUCCUCCUGCCUUGGCAUCCCAAAGUGCUGGGAUUACAGGCAUGAGCCACUGCGCCCAGCCAUAACAAACUUUUAAAAGAAAAUUGGUGCGGGGCCAUUAUUUUCCUCUGUGGAAUUAAUUUUUAAAUUUUUAAAAUACCUAGCCUCCCCCACUCCUCAUUUCUAUAGUUCCUUAAAUAAUUUAUUCUGGAUUUAUCACACUUGACUUUAUCUAAAACUUUUGAACCAAUUUGUAACUGUCUAUGACACAUUUUGUGGACAAUUAAAUCCAUAAACUUACCUCCUGAUAUCACCUGGGGUAAUACUAUCAACGUUUCUGGGUCAUUGAGAAGCCUAGAUGAAACGAAAAAUGUGUGAAGUCUAGUUGAGUGCUUGGCCCAUGAUGAGCCUGUGAUGAGCCCUCGCUACUGUUCCCUACCUGGCUUUCUUCUCUUCACAACUCUCUGCCUUGUCUAGCAUUUGUUUUCUGUAUAGUUAAAAAUCUAGGCCAGGUGCGGUGGCUGACACCUGUAAUCCCAGCACUUUUUGAAAGGCCAAGGCAGGUGGAUCACCUGAGGUCGGGAGUUCGUGACCAGCCUGGCCAACAUGGUGAAACCCCAUUUCUACGAAAAAUACAAAAAAUUAGUCAAGCGUGGUGGCGGACACCUGUAACCCCAGCUACUCAGGAGGCUGAGGUAGGAGAAUCACUUGAACCUGGGAGGUGGAGGUUGCAGUGAGCCAAGAUUGCACCACUGCACUCCAGCCCAGGCAACAAGAGUGAAACUCUGUCUCAAAAAAAAAUUUAAAAAUCGAUUGCUUUUUAUUGUGGUAAAAUAUACAUAUUUUUAAGUGUACAGCUAAGUGGUAUUAAGUAUAUUCACAUUGUUGUACAACUAUCACCACCAUCCAUCUCCAGAACACCUUCAUUUGCCUGAACUGCAAGUCUGGACACUUUAAGCACUAACUCCUCAUUCCCCGCUCCUCCUAGCCCCUGGCAACCACCAUUCUAUUUUCUAUCUCUAUGAAUUUGACUACUCUAGGUACGUUUUAUAAGUGGACCCAUACAGGAUUUGUUCUUUUUGACUGGCUUAUUUCCCUUAGGAUAAUGUUCUCGAGCUUCACCCAUGUGUCCGAAAUUUCCUUUUAAAGACUCGAUAAUGUUCCAUUGUCUACACAUACCACAUAUUGUUUAUCCACUCAUCUGUCCAUGGACUUUGGGUUACUUGCCCCUUUUUUGGCUAUUGCGAAUAAUUCUGCUCUGAAAAUGAAUGUAUAGAUAUUUGUUUAAGCAACUCUUUUGCUCAAAGGAGAAUUGCUGGAUCAUAUAAUAUUAGGUUGGUACAAAAGUAAUUGCAGCUUUUCCCAUUCCUUUUAAAGGGAAACAUUUUUUGAGGAACUGCUAAACUGUGUUCUAUAGCAGCUCUACCAUUUUACUUUAUAUGGUAUGAUUUUUAUGCAUUUUUGUUUUUCCUAAUUAGAUUGCUAUCUUCCUGAGAUCAUUUACCCUAUGGCAUUCACCUCUGAAUCUCUCAGAGCCCCUACAAAAUUGCCUCAAGCAUUAUAGAUGCUCAAUAAAUAUGGGAAUAAAAGGUUUGUUUCAAGCUCCUGGAAGCUCAUCUUCUCCACUCUCAGUGUGUUCCUUCUUCUCAUCCUUAUUCUUUCCUCAGCUCUCAUAUUCCAUGAUUUAGUAGACCUAUGCUAAUAAUUUCCAUAUCUUUAAUGAUUUAUAGUCUUUGGCCAUGCAGCUGUUAAGAGCCUGGACACUGAGGUCAGGAAGACCUGGCCUCAAGGCCUGGCUCUACCACUUACCAGUUGUAUGACCAUAGGCAAGCUUCUAAUCUCUUGUUUCGGAUAUUUUUUGCUGCAUAAUGAAACACUUCCAAACGUAGUGGCCUGAUCAAUGGCUAUUUUAUUAUUUACUAGAAUCCUUUGGGUGUACUGGGUCAAUUCUUGUAUUCCACAUUGUGUCAGCUGGGGUCACUCACAUGGCUGCGUUCAUCAUUGAGCUUGGCUAGGUUUCCAGUUACCAAGAAGGCCUCACUCACGUAUCUGACACUUCAUGUCUUGGGUAGCUGAAAUUGCCGGGGGCUGGCUGGGUCUUCCCCUCUUCCUUCUUAGUCUCUCAUAAAAAUUGGACCCUUUUCUCCAUGUGGCCUUUGUCCAUGUGGCCUUUCUCUCUUAACAGGUUUUUCAGACUUCCUGACAUGGCAACUGGCUUCAAAGAGAGCGGAAAUGGAAGUUGCCAGCGUUCUUAAGACGUAAGCCAGAACGAGCAUGUCAUCACUUCCAAUUCAUUCUUUUGUUGAAAGCCACCACAGGCCAGCCAAGGCUCAACAGGAGGGGAAAUAGACUCCAACACUCAGUGGGAAGAAAGGGCAUUUGCAUAUUGGGAUGGAGGAAUUCAUGGCCAUAUUUGCAGACAACUCAUCUCUAACCCUCAGUUUCCCCAUCUGUAAAAUGGGAGAUAAUAAUAAUAGCUAUCUUUGUAAGGCUACAGUGAUGAUAAAAUGUAAUAAUGCAUAUAAGAUGUGCACUAAUUGUGAUUCAAAUUAUUCUUAUUUUAUUAUUUCUAUUUUAUUCCAAGGUUGAUGUUUUUCAAGUUCAUUUUGAAAUUCCCUUCUCUUUCUUUAUUCAAGAAGAUCAACACACAGCUAAUCAUCACCACAAAGAGUACUGCAAUCAAUAUAAGAAUACCUACCCUCCCUGGUACAAGCCAAGGCUGGCUUCCCAGGAAUCCUCAGGGUUUGCCAGCCUUUGUGCCUGUGCCCCACUUCCCUCUUGAGGUGUGGCUCUUGGACUGAAAGGGCGUGACCAUCUUUGGGAUCCACUUUUGAAAUCCUACAGCUUUCUGCAAUUUGUUUUUAUAAAAUCACAUUAUGCAUCUUGAGAAAUAUUAAUGCCUUCUCUCUUUGAACUUUGAAAUUUCUUUCAUGAAAGAAAAAUAAAAAGCAGAGGUUAUUAGGAUGACAUAAUGCACUCACCUCAUAAUUCAGAUAUUCAAACAAAAAUGAUCUUUCUAUGCUGAUUCGGUCUUCCUCACCAAAUCACCCCCUGGGGAGUGGGAGGAAAAAAAAUAUGCUCAAGAGUCAGCCUGAUUUAAAGAGUAGUCUAACAUGAUCAUUUAAGCAGUUCCUUUUAGAUGCUGUACCAUGUCUCUUGGAGAAGAUGCUGUGUCUCUCUGACAGCCUUUCUUCCUCCUGGUUUCCUCCCUGUGAUGGUUCCUGGGUCUAAGGGGGCUGGCAUGGCUAUUGCUGCUUACUGGACAGAUGGAAGAGCUAGAGUCCUUGGGCCCUGUCCUUCCUCUGCUUUUCAGGGUAAUGUUCCUUGUCUGCCUGCUUGCUGCUUCUUCUACAGGCAUCAGAACCUGAAGUCCAAGGCUGGUAACUAGUCAUUUCCUCUCUGGGUUUGGGAACGGGGUGCUGCCCUUGCCUUAUUCAAUCUUGGCUUAGCUUUUGUGGGUGCCAUGGCUGCUCUGUGGCCUGGCUAUGGCUCCCUAGCUAUCCUAACCCAGACAGUCAGUGCUGAGCCCUCUCUCUGGGGCAACCCUACCCUGAUAUGGUAACCCACUGGCAUUCUCCAUGGCUCACCUCUCAGCCCCUCUGGGUCCAGCCUCUCUCUGACCACGCUGCCAGUGCCAGCCCCUCAUUCUUUCAAAGCUUUUGCUUUCAGAAAUAAUGCCUUGGUGAGCAUAUUGUAUGUGUCUGUUGCUUUCCAGGAAUAUAUAUAGAGAAAUAAAAUUGUGGGAUUUUAGGUUACACACAUUUUUAUAUUUUAAGAUAGUCCCAUAUUUACCUCGAAAGUCACUGUUACCAAUUUACACUCUAUCUCUCCUCAUGCUUGCUAAUUCUGGAGAUUAGCAAAUUGUUUACAGAGUUUGUCAAUCUGAUGGUUGUUAAAAAGGUAUUUUAGUAUUGCUAAGCAUUUUUUCUUAUGUUUAUUGACCAUAAACAUCCUGUGAAUAUCCUGUUCAUAUCUUUGACUUUUUAAAUCAGGUUGGUUUGUUUGUUUUUUGUCUCUUUUUUUUCUUCUUAUAGGUUGAUAUAUCCAGGUGUCUUAGUUAGCCUGGGCUGCCAUAACAAAAUACUAUAGACUGGGUAGCUAGACAACAAAAAUUUCUCACAGUUCUGGAGGCUAGAAAUCCAAAUUCAAGAUGCCAGAAGGGUCAGUGUCUGGUGAGGGUUUGUUACUUGGGUUGCAGACAAUGCCUUCUUGCUGUGUUCUCAUAGGGCCUUUCCUUAGUGUUUGCAAGGAGGGAGGGAAGGAGAGAGAGAGAGAGAGAGAGAGAGAGAGAAGGUCUCUUCCUCUUCUUAGAAGGCCAUCAGGCUGCAUGGACAUGGUAGCUCACACCUGUAAUCCCAGCACUUUGAGAGGCCAAAGUGGGAGGAUUGCUUGAGCCCAGGAGUUUGAGACCAGCCUGGGCAACAUAGGGAUACCCCAUUUCUACAAAAAACGAAAUUUUUUUUAAAAAGGCUACCAGUCCUAUUGGAUUAGGAUCCAACCCUUACGAUCUCAUUUAACCUUAAUUACCUCUUAAAAGCCCUAUCUCUAAAUAUAAUCACAUUGGGGGUUUGUGCUUCAACAUAUGAAUUCAAGAGAGAACACAAUUCAGUCAAUAACACCAGGAUACCAUUCUUUUGCCUGUUAUAUGUGUUUGCAUUAUGUAUGUGUAUGUAUACACAUACACAUAUACAUCUGCAAAUGCAAAUAUUUUCUCCUAGACCAUAACUUUUGUUAAUGAAGUCUUUGUCAUUGAUAAGUUUUUACUUUUGAUGUGUCAAAUUUGUUCACCUUUUUCUUUGUUUUUAUGACUUAAGAAGGCCUUCUAUACAUGUAAGGUCAUGAACAUACUAUUUGUUCAUCUAUAUUUUAGGAGAACUUGCCUAUAAGCCUUUUGAGCCUGAUGCCCUUGCAUGGACUGGAAGGAGGUACACAUUUAAAUAACAGUUCAGUUUCUUGAAUGGUUUAUUAAUGUUUUCUUCCCAAAGUUUGGUUAUUUAUAUUUUCUUAGAAAAUCCUUUUCGUCUGGGUCUCAAAUUCCUUGUUAUAAAAUUGUGCAUAAUGCUCCUUUUAAGUGAUCUUUUAUAUCUGUACAUAUCCCUUUUCAUGCCUGAUAUUGCCUGUUAAGCAAUAGGCAAUAUUGCUUUCUCUUUUUAUUAACUAUUCUAGCCAAAUAAUUUUUACCUUAAUACAAGGCAAAUCUGUGGUUUUAUUGAUCAAUUUUGCUGAGGUUUUUCCUGUUUCAUUAAUUUCUGCUUCUAUAUUAAUUUAUUUCUUACUAUUUACUUGGCUUUAUUUUGUUUUGCUUUUCAAUCUUUUUUAUAUUUCUAAUAAAUAAAUGUAAGACUAGAGGUUUUUUUCUGGAAAUUGCUUUGGCCAUAUUCCAUUAGUUUUGAUGUGUGUUACUUUCAUUGUGGUCUAGUUCUCAGUGGUUUACUUCCUCUUUAAACCAAGAGGUCUUUAGAAGUGUGUUUUUAUAGUUAAGGAGUAUAGAUUUUUUUUUUUGGCUCCCUGUUAAUUUCUAAAUUUAUUGCAUUCUGGCUAAUGAAUGUGGCCUGUAUAAGAACAGUUUUUAAAAAUGUGUUGUUAUUUCCUUUGAGCAUAGAACACAGUCAAAUUUGGUAAACUUUGCAUGUGUGUUUUUAACUUUUAAUAAUGGCAUAAUAUUGAAUGUUUUUACCUUCCAGUGU